RNAcentral lists this ribosomal RNA (484 nucleotides) under uncultured bacterium. Its description in RNAcentral is "partial 16S ribosomal RNA". It matches the Rfam family "Bacterial small subunit ribosomal RNA", at positions 30 to 507 of the family's 1533-position model. The record is from RNAcentral.
AUUGAACGCUGGCGGCAUGCUUUACACAUGCAAGUCGAACGGCAGCGCGGGCUUCGGCCUGGCGGCGAGUGGCGAACGGGUGAGUAAUACAUCGGAACGUGCCCAGUAGUGGGGGAUAGCUCGUCGAAAGCCGGAUUAAUACCGCAUACGACCUGAGGGUGAAAGCGGGGGAUCUUCGGACCUUGCGCUAUUGGAGCGGCCGAUGGCAGAUUAGCUAGUUGGUGGGGUAAAGGCCUACCAAGGCGACGAUCUGUAGCUGGUCUGAGAGGACGACCAGCCACCCUGGGACUGAGACACGGCCCAGACUCCUACGGGAGGCAGCAGUGGGGAAUUUUGGACAAUGGGCGAAAGCCUGAUCCAGCAAUGCCGCGUGUGUGAUGAAGGCCUUCGGGUUGUAAAGCACUUUUGGCGGGAACGAAAAGGACUGUGCCAAUACCACGGUUCGAUGACGGUACCCGCAGAAUAAGCACCGGCUAACUACGUG